GAUUAAUAAUAUUAAGUCAAAUCUGCUCAAUGAAUUAUUUAAAUAGCUGCAGUAUAAAUAACUGUACAAAGGUAGCAUAAUAAUUAGUUUUUUAAUUAAAAACUUGAAUGAAAGAUUUAAUGAAAUAUUAACUGUCUCAAAUUUAUUAAAUAAAUUUUUUUUUUAAGUUAAAAAACUUAAAUAUUUAAAAAAGACGAGAAGACCCUAAAGAAUUUUCAUAAUUUUUUAAUUUUAUUUAAUUUUAAUUUUUAUAUUAUUUAAAAAUUAUUUUAAUUGGGGAAAUUUUAAAAUUUAACUAAUUUUUAAUUAAAAAAACAUUUAUUUUUGAAUAAAUAAAAUUUUUUUAAAAAAAAAAAUUAAAUUACCUUAGGGAUAACAGCAUAAUUUUUUUAAAAAGUUCAAAUUUUUAAAAAAGUUUAU
This 420-nucleotide ribosomal RNA is filed under the name Diolcogaster schizurae. Its description in RNAcentral is "partial 16S large subunit ribosomal RNA". Lineage: Eukaryota; Metazoa; Arthropoda; Insecta; Hymenoptera; Braconidae. The record is from RNAcentral.